RNAcentral lists this ribosomal RNA (258 nucleotides) under uncultured bacterium. RNAcentral's name for it is "partial 16S ribosomal RNA". It matches the Rfam family "Bacterial small subunit ribosomal RNA", at positions 75 to 334 of the family's 1533-position model. The record is from RNAcentral.
CUUGCUUUCUUUGCUGGCGACCGGCGCACGGGUGAGUAACACGUAUCCAACCUGCCCUUUACUCGGGGAUAGCCUUUCGAAAGAAAGAUUAAUACCCGAUAGUAUAAUGAUUCCGCAUGGUUUCAUUAUUAAAGGAUUCCGGUAAAGGAUGGGGAUGUGUUCCAUUAGGUUGUUGGUGAGGUAACGGCUCACCAAGCCUUCGAUGGAUAGGGGUUCUGAGGGGAAGGUCCCCCACAUUGGAACUGAGACACGGUCCAA